This is a long non-coding RNA of Danio aesculapii, 191 nucleotides long. RefSeq lists it as uncharacterized. Lineage: Eukaryota; Metazoa; Chordata; Actinopteri; Cypriniformes; Danionidae. The transcript is spliced from 3 exons. The record is from RefSeq and is a predicted model, not a curated record.
GGAGUUUUUGCUCUUCAGAAUCCAGUCAGAUUGAAGGAAGACGCCAGACCCGGAUCUUUGUACAUCCAUUUGCACAGUACUGUACAACAAGUUUCCUUUGCUGAGUUCCUUGGUCAGGGGUUUAAAUACAUUUGCUGUCCAGUACUGCAGUUGGAAUUUUCCAUCAAUUUUUUAUGGGCAACCAAAAAGAA